This 374-nucleotide unclassified non-coding RNA is filed under the name plant metagenome. RNAcentral describes it as "partial contains 5.8S ribosomal RNA, internal transcribed spacer 2, and large subunit ribosomal RNA". The stretch from base 1 to 105 matches the Rfam family "5.8S ribosomal RNA", at positions 50 to 154 of the family's 154-position model. The record is from RNAcentral.
GAAGUGCGAUAAGCAAUGCGAAUUGCAGAAUUCCGCGAAUCAUCAGAUCUUUGAACGCAAAUGGCGCUGAAAGGAUAUCCUUUCAGCAUGUCUAUUUCAGUGUCUGAGAGGUUUCAUACUAAUCUUAAUGUGAUUGAAGGGUUGAAUGAUGAUUGAUACUCUCCUCUCUCAUUCGAUUCUUCUUUCAUGAAAGAUGCGUGAGUGGAUCUUUCGGUCCAAUGAAGUGGUCACAUCACUCGCAUGUGAUUUCAUUGGAGAAAUCACCGAAUUAUCCGUAUACUCACAGUAACAACUACCCCCGAAAAAAUAAGGGGGGAAAAACACCUUCCAGACCCUGCAUCUGAGAUAGACAAGAUCACCCGCUGAACUUAAGC